GGUACUCCUAUUAAUGAUGUAUUUAGAAUUUGAAAUUAUAUUUGGACAUACAUUUCACUUGAAAAAAUAUUACAAUUUUAUGAGUGGAGAAAAUUUUGAAAAAUCGAUCAAAACCACUUUUUAGGUUUUGAAAAACUCAUUUUCGAAUUUAUUUUUCAAAAACUUGUAAAAUUUCAUGGACAAACACAAUUUUGAAACUUUCUUUUGAAAAAAAUAAUUUAUGGACAAACGGGGCCUUAAACUUCUAAGAGAAUCUUUUGAGAAAUCACUUUCUUUUCAAAAGACUAUUGUCAUGGAAGAGCACAUUUUAAUCUCAAACCUCAGUGAGACUGAGUUAGCAAAAGAGGAAAAACACCUUAGUACCCUAUAUUCUAACAGGAAAAAGAAGAAAAAAAAAGAAACUUGUAUGAAACAACAUUAUGGCUCUGAAUAUCCACAAUUUUCAGAUAUUCCAAACUGGUUAGGAUAUCCAUUCCGUUUCCUCAGAAUUUGAUCUUAGAUACUGUAGAUGCUAAAAUGUACGAAGGGGUCUGGAAUGGAGCCGUUAAAGCAAUUGAAAUUGAAACUGUAAAAUGUUGAGCACAAAACUGGGAGAGAUCGUGGUCCAAAUAUCUCAAAAAUAGUUAAGACUUCUGUUAGUCUCUCCACCUUAUCCCUGUGGACUCAGCAGAACAGAACAGAAAAAAAUCAUUAGGCUAAUACGUUUUUCCUUAGUUGGCUAAUUAAACUCGUGACAGCCACAUGCUAAUUUUGACUACUGCACAUUGUUUACCCUUAAAACGGAUAACAAUUAAAUUUAUACGUAAUUUUAAAUAUAUGUGGAUUGAUUCAACAGAAAUAAACAAGAAUGUUAAAUAAACGAGUAAAAUAUAGAAUGAAUAAUCAAACUAAUUGUGAUGUUAUGGCCGGUUUCGGAUUUAAGCUAAACAGAAGCUUUACCCUCGAUCGGACCCUUAACUCGGAGCCAAUUGUGUAUGAAGAACAACAAUAAAAUAUGAACUUUGCAAUAGCUAGAAAGCAAGAAAAUGAACUUGUAUUUCUUGCUUUGCAUCUUACAAUGUGUCUUAUUGAAUAAAAAGGUUCCCCUUUAUAUAGUAGGAGAGUUUCACCCCUAGUACAAUUCUAAAAAAAGAUAAAAAAAAUCCUCCUUUCUCGUCAAUUACUGAUCUGCUACCAACAUCGGGCGAGAUCUGCGCCGUGAUAUCCGAUUGGGUGCGGAUAUCACGGCUCUCUGUUGGUCGUGUGCAGUUGUUUGUCAUGCUUUCUGAGGUCUUGGAGCUCGUUCUGAGCUCGGGAGUGUUGUCUUGUCAGGCCCGGUGACAAGUACCCCGUUCGGGCCUUGAUACAAAGAGUUCCCGGCUUCGAUUUCGAUCUCAUAUAUUCAUACUCUUACUUCGUUUGAUUCAUCGGAAAAUCGGGGUGUGUGCUAAUCCCGAUUUCACCCGUACACAAAUAGUCCCCUCGUUUCUGAAAGAGUAGGUUUGCCUGGGAAACGAUAGAUGAACCCCUGGCUCUUUCCUUCGUAAGUUACAACCGAGAUGACGAAUAAGCCGAAACAUCCCAUCAGUCGCGUCGUUCUGUCUUCGGAUAUGUGUCGGCCAUCGGUUGGUUGACUUCGAAUGUGAAACGUCGCGUAUUGAUUACAUUUUUCCCUAUAAAAGCUUCGACAUUUUGUACUUCUUUCACUUUCCGAUCCUAGCUUUUACCUUCGAAUUUUCUAGCGGCUAUAAACUUUUUCAAACCUUCAUAUCUUCAUCUCUGACCUUCAAAUCUUCAUAUUUGUUCUUAAAUUUCUAACCCAGAUCUUCAUCCUACCUUCAAAUCAUCAUACCUUUCCUUCAAACCUUCAUACUUUUCCCUUCAAAUCUUUGUACUUUUCCUUCAAAUAUUCAUAUAUUCCCAGAUCACAAUGGCUAAAAUUUCCAAAUUAGUUCCUCAGCAGGCUGCUCCCUUAUCUUCUCACCCGGCCACAAAUGUCGAGGUGGCUGCUCCUGAGGUGGCCUCAAAGCCCCAUAUGAAAAGCUUUAUACUCGGGGUUGUUCAAUCGGGGAAGACUUCAAGGUAAAAAAGGCCUCCGCCAAACAAGACCGAGGUGAAGGAGCAUGGAGAUACAUAUGCUCCAUUACCGAAGAUACCUUUCCCAUAGUUCGAGAGGACUGUAAAUUGGAAGGCAAGGACAUGGUAGUCCCCGGGCCUAAGGACGAUAUUACUACCCACGUGGAGGGGAAUUUAAGUGUUUAUACUUAACCCUUCACGCUGGGCCCGAUAGACCUAGUAGUCCUGGCCUUUUGAAAGAGGUACGUUCCUCGGGCAAAUCCACCCGUCCCUUUGUAGGAUCGUGAUCCUCCUACGCCAUUUUAUGAGCAAUACAGAAUCACCUCGGUUCACCCCCGACCACCUACUCCGUCAGUACAGUCCACGAAUUUUCUGAGGGGGACUAAUCAAGCUUGUUCACCAAGGCAGCAAGGCUCCCUUUUCGAGCAUCGACGAGGAUCGAGACCGAGGUUGGCAGGGGCGUUUUGUUCGAGUAAAAACUGAAAAUCUGAUCGUGCAGCUUUUGAUUGGGUUCCCAACGCAGUCCCCCGGCUCAAGGAUUGGAUCGAAGGAAUCUUCAAGCAAAUAUCAUACUAUGAGCGCGCGUGGCACAAGCUUUCGAAGGGCAGGUGGGAGGCCCGUUUUCAUGGUAAGGCUCUCCCGUGAAUAGUUAUUAUUACCCCCCCAAAGUUACAUAAUGCUGACUUCUUUUCCUUUCCCUCGCAGGUUUGCCUAAGACGACCGAACUUAGGCCGUUGGAUGGAUACAGGGAUGCGUUCUUACCCAUCAAUCCCUCCAUUUCGGGAUAACCCGAGGCUUCCGCAGGGGAGAAGAAGAGGAAAAGACAGUCCUCGGGCUCCUCGAAUCCCGAGGCGAAGAUAAAAAAGAGGCCGGCUACCCGGGAUCGUAAGCCCAAGAAGAAUACUAAGUCUAAGGUACCGGACUCUAACUUCCUUCACCGGCUUAGGGAUGAGCCCCAAGAAGAUGACAUCUUCGCCACCCAUGGAUCGACCCUUGUCGGGGAGUAGGAGACGACCGAGGGAAAGGGCCAUGAGGUCGAUCCUCUUCCGAUUUGAGAGGCCGAAGUGGAGACAGAUGUUAUGACCUCCCAAGAAACCGUUCCCAUACUGAAAGAGGCGACCGGUGUUAUCGAUAUCAUCGAGACACCCUCUUAUACCGAGUCUAUGCUUGAAGAGGCCCAAGAGGGUAAGAAAAAGUCAAGUAAAGGAGUUCAGGGUGCAGAUAGCCCUCUCCACUCCUUCUUAGAUGGCAUGACAUGUCCACGUUGGAAGAUUUUUCCAGGUUGGGUGACCUGGAGAUCCUGAAGAAGGACGUGCCAUCGGGAGCUGGUCGACCGAGUUCGACCCCAAAACUUGUGAAGCAGUUUCCCGCACCGAGCGUGGACCCUGACCGUAAGAGAAUAGUCAUUCUUACGAUCUCGGAGGGUGCUCGGGUUCUAUCUACCCCAUUGGGCGUAGCGAGCUACCUCCGAUGCUUUGUGACCGAGGAGGACCAGGCAAAGAUGAACGAGGUGGGCGCAUCAAGUAUUUUCAACGAGGCGCAGCAGGUGCUGAACCGGGUAAGACAUCAAUACUUUUACACUCCCUUGUGAAUUCCACUUAAGUUUUGAUGUAUCUUACCGUUUUCGUUGUUUUACAUGCCUCGGUGCUUCACCAUGAGAGCUUUCUCCGGUAUCGCUUGGAAAUCAUCCAGCUCGAGUUCGUGCUCAAAGAGCAGGUCCGGAAUAAGAACAUGUACAAGCUUCUCAGUGAGCAACAGGGCGGGGCCAUCAAAGACCUCCAGGCCGAGCUGGACAAGGCUCAAAAGGAAGCCUCAACCCUGAAGCGGGAUCAUGCCGGCCUGGUUGAAAAGGUAAAUGUCAUUGAAGCUAAAAAUGAGGAGCUAGUCGUGGUGACUAACAACACAACCUCACAGGUCCAACAGAAGAUCGAUCUGAUCGACCAGCUCCAAGCCGAGAUGAACGAGGUCAAGGCCAUGGCCGAAGAUGGAAAGGCAAAAUAGACCUGCUGGCUUCGGAGAAGGAAACCGCGAAGGUGGAGCUGGCAUCAAUUGAGAACCAACUCCGGGUGGCGAAGGACAAAGCUGAUAAAUGUUCUCAGCUGAAUGAUGAUCUCCGAGCACAUUUGAGCUCCACUGUCACAGAGCAGGAUGACCUCGGUAGAGAAUAUGAGGCAAUGAAGUUCAAAUUGGACACAACCUCUGCCAAUGCCGAAGAAAUGGUGGUCCAAUACAAGGCCGAUGUGGAGGCAACUGAGACCCGCCUAAAGAUGAAGACUGAAUAUGUGAAGCGUCUAUCCCGUAGAGAGACCCUCGAAGAGAUCUAUGCCCGAGGUUUCAACCUGUCGGAUGAGAUCGAGGAAGCAAAAAGCUCGAGGCCGAGGCAAAGAAGCUUUACGAGCCGAGGGCUCCGGCGGUUCUGGCGACGAGUCGGGGCCCGAUGAAGACCAGGCGUAGANNNNNNNNNNNNNNNNNNNNNNNNNNNNNNNNNNNNNNNNNNNNNNNNNNNNNNNNNNNNNNNNNNNNNNNNNNNNNNNNNNNNNNNNNNNNNNNNNNNNNNNNNNNNNNNNNNNNNNNNNNNNNNNNNNNNNNNNNNNNNNNNNNNNNNNNNNNNNNNNNNNNNNNNNNNNNNNNNNNNNNNNNNNNNNNNNNNNNNNNNNNNNNNNNNNNNNNNNNNNNNNNNNNNNNNNNNNNNNNNNNNNNNNNNNNNNNNNNNNNNNNNNNNNNNNNNNNNNNNNNNNNNNNNNNNNNNNNNNNNNNNNNNNNNNNNNNNNNNNNNNNNNNNNNNNNNNNNNNNNNNNNNNNNNNNNNNNNNNNNNNGGCGUCUACCCUUUUAUAAUUUCUAUNAUGUAUGUUUUUAAUGCCUUAGCAUAGAAUCAAAUGUAGUUGUGGGGCGUUCGUUUUUCGGAGGUUCAAAUGGAGACCGGCCUCGAUACAACUUUGUUUGCUCGAGGCUUUGAAACCUCGGUGUGACCAGAGGUUUUCAAGAUGCUUAAGUGAUUUUAGACGAUUCUUUUGUCGAGGGUAAUCUUUUAGCAGGUUUCGAGUUCUUAUAAAGGCCGUACUUUCUGAUUACGAGCUUCGGACGUCUCCGAGCUGCUUUUAGAGCAGCCGUAGCCUUUUGUAUUUGGGCACCGCCUAAUAGGUUUGGGGCCUCCGGGAUUUGGUAGCCCGGGUUGUUAGAACUUUCUUCGAGCGACAGUCCCCGAGUAGAGGUAUACCUUGGGCUCGAUAGUCCCAGAGUAGGGGUAGCUCAUGGGCUCGAUAGUCCUCAAGUAGGGGUAGCAUAUGAAGUGAACGAUCAUUGACUCCGAUUUGAGACUGUUCUUCGAGUCUAAGUUAGCACGUUUUACUGUUACCUCGUUAAAAACCUUGCUGAAAAACCAAUUUUGGGACAAAAUCGGUUCAAGGGAAAAAGAGUGAAAUGCAUGCUAUGAGACCUAAUAACCACAUCUAUCCUUGGCCGUUUGCCUGCAAAUAUAGUCCGAUUGUUAGUCCGAUUCAUAACAUGGUUAAAGAGUAAUUGAGUUCAUACCUUAGUAGCAGUACCGUUUUAAGUGUGUCACGUUUCAGUUGUUCGGUAGUUGCACACCGUUUCCUGCUUCGCGUUUGUACGAGCCUUUGCCAGUAAUUCUGAAGACUCGAUAUGGUCCUUCCCAAUUUGGUCCCAUCUUCCCCUCGUUCGAGUUCCGAGUAUGUAAUGUUACUUUCCUCAACACCAAGUCCCCGAUCUUGAAGUGUCGGUGGUCACGUAGUUUUGGGUCGUGACAAACUUAGUAUCAGAGCACUAGGUUCUAAUUCGAGUCCUAGGAAGUCUAUGGAAUCGUGUCUAGUAGAGUUCUACUUAUCGGUGUGUUGUACACCACACUUAUAUCGGGAAGGCUAUAUGAACAUUGUAGGAUUGUUUCAUUCUUUCUUCUCACUCUAGAUCGUGCGUUAAAGCUUGAAGCAAUAGAAAAAUUUCCAGUCUCUAUCAAAUUUUCGACGAGAAUAAUGAGGAAAAGUGAUGAGCAUAAAGUUUGAGAUUCAAGUAAUGACACUAAUUACUUCAGAAAUAGCCAUGAAAGUGUCAUUGACCUUUAAUGCGAAUAUAAGGGCUUAUGUCGAAAAUAUAAUGAAAUGUGUACAAUUUGAAUGGGGAAACAACAGAUUGAAAUUGCUAGCCAGGAGCUAAUGACUUGUCUUAAGGAAGAAGAGAUGUAAUAUUGUUGAAUAUUAUCGUAAUGAUAUCGAAAAUGCGAGAAAUUUAUGUUAUAAAAUAAUAAUAAGGGCACCUUGAAAAGACAUAGCGUUGGUAUAUGUUUGAAAUUGCUAGAGGCAGAGGACAGCUAGUCACGGUGAUGGCCGCCAGUUUUGGAUGACGAGAAGAAUAGGAACAAGUAAAUUUGACGAGGGGAAAGAUAAUCUUGAGUCGACCAAAAAAAAAAGGGGUUCGUAUAUCCAUAUUUUGUGAUAGAGUAUCCAAGGAUGAUAUAGAUCGAGGUGGUAAAGGAAGACGAGUCACCAAGCCUAUAACAAGCGUUAGUAUAACUCGUAGAUAUGAGGCAUGGUUGAAACAAUGGUUGUGGAUAUCUUUUGAUAAUAAGAACUGGUUGGACGCUUGAUAUGAUAGGUUGCAAACGACAGGUGAAAAUUUUGGAUAGGCCUAGAAAUAGAGGAAACUCUGUCAAUUUUUUUGAAAAUUUGAAGAGUUAGUCGGAUUUUCGAUACCUUAAGGAUUUAAUAGUUAAGGAAAGCUUGGAGAUUAAGCUUUUGGACUUAAGUACGACAAAAGGAAUUACAUUCGAGGAUAAAUAUUUCUAAGUGGGGGAGAAUGUGAAGCCCGUGAAAUUUUAUAUUUAGGUUGGGCUAAUUUCAAACUUAAGAAUGCAAUCUAAAUAAACCUGAGCUACAUGAGAUUACUUAAGUGGAAAAAAGAUAGUAAAAUGCAUUGGAGAUAACUAUUUCAUUAAUGGUGAGUGCCGAGUUAAUUGGGAAUAAAAAGAAGUCAUGAAGAACACGUGAGAAAUAUUAAUCCUCAAAGGAUAAAUGCUGGAAUAAACUGCAACGAAAAACAUAGUUAGCAAAACAAAAGACGCAAAAUGAUGAAAAGGGGAGGAUCUGGAGGCAAUGGAUUUCAUUGACUUCAAAGUCACCAACCUCAAUUGAAUAAUAUUAAUUAAUAAAUAAGUGAAUGGUUGAAUUAAAUUACAUGAGGAUACUUUCAUAUAAUAUGGGUAUAAUGGAAUUAGUGGUUGGUGUUUUAGGUAUACAAAAAGAGUCAUGAGAUUUGAUUGGAAGAAUAUUGGCAAGGAAUCAAAGGAUAAGAUGAUAAGCUUCAGAGGAUGGACGUUGGCUUGGAUGCGUCGCAUCCCAUCGCUCCAAUGUUCCCAGCUGCCAAGGACAAAAGCAGUGACUCCUGGCCAAAGUGCCAAUCUUCGCGUCCAAAACUUUAAGCAAAAAACAAGCAGUAGUUGUUGCUUUUUAAGGCAUUAUAGGAAGGGAUUCUUUUAUUAUUUUGAGGCUUGGUUUUUGAAGGUCUAGAGAGAGAAGAGAGCUCUCCACAAUUGAUGUCCUCUUGAGGUAAGAAUUAAAUGUAUUUUUGGUAGAUUUGAUUCUUAAAUUACAUCUUCUAACUCUCCACCUACAUGGAAUUCAUAGAUUUUUUCAAGAAAAUCCUAAGAACAUCUCAAUAACUCAAAUCUUGAAAAUUUUAGGGUUUGACAAAGAGGUAACCCCUUCAUUUCAAUCUUAUAUAUUAUACUCCAUGGACAUGGUAGAGUAUAUUUAUGAAGGAAGAUUUAUAUUUAAGCCUCUAUUGAUGAAACCCUAUAAAGCUAGUCUUGAAAUUGGAAAGUUUAUUGGUAGAGAUGAUGAAUGGUGUUGGGUUUUGUUUGACCUAUGUCGUUUUGAGAUUCUAAUGGAAUAACUAGAUUCCAUAAGAUAUUUAAUGGAGAAUUAGAGUUAAAACUCAAGGAAUGAUCUUCAAGUGGUGAAAUAAGGAUUUUGUGAAACUUGGACCUAAGUGUUAGACACUUAGUUGGUUUGGUUUGUAUUGUUGUGACAGGCUAUUGAUACAUGUGAGCUCAUAUAUGUAGAUUAUGAAAUAUUGACGUCAUUCAAAUUUGGUUUUCAACCUCCUUAUAUUAUGGUAAAUUGAGUUGAGUUGGUUGAAGAAUUUCUUUGAAGGUAUUAAGGACUCAAUGAAGUUACGGAAUGUGAAGCUAAACCUUUUCUUUAUUUUGGCAUGAUAUCGUAACUACAUAUGUUUGAUAACGAGACAUAAAGAGAAGUUCAUACUCCUAAAUUUAUGUACAUUAUCCUAGUCCCAUAAGUUACAGUAUUCUCUCUUAUUGGGAUUUUACUGUCAUGUCAAGAUGGGACCAAGCGAAACAAUCUAUGUUAACUAUAAGAAAUUAAAUGAGUUUUUUCCUGAUCACGGGAGUUAACCUCGUGCCCAGGUAUACCUUUCAAUCUAGUAAGUGUUCAAUCAAUAUGACUUGCUCUAACUACUCAAUCGUCGAUUUGGUGGCAUCGGUAUCAUCAGGAGCUAUAAACGAUCUAGGAACUAUAUAAUCAUCAUCCUCGUCUACUCCUCACUCUUCUAGUUCGGUCGGGACCGAUAUCGCUGAUUGUUAUUUAAUUUCUUCCUUCCUGGUCGGCUUUGUGUUCCUUGAUGUCGAGACCACGGGCACCGGGAUUAGCUCGUCGACUGUGAACAUUUCCUUUGCGGUCGGCUGCUCUCCGUAGACUGUCUUGAUUCCUCCCAGCGUAACUUCAGUGCAUGGUGUAAGGUUAAGGAUAUCGCCCUCAUGUUGUGAACCCAAGGCCUUCCGAAUAUGGCGUUGUACCUCAUGUCCCCUUUGAUCACGUAGAAUUUUGUCUCUUGGAUCGUUCUGGCGGUGUUCACUGGCAAAGUUAUCUCCCUUUUAGUAGUUUCGCAUGCCAUGUUAAAUCCGUUUAACACCCAGACCGCCGGCACUAUUUUGUCUUGUAACUCCAACUGCUCUACGACCCUCGAUCUGAUGAUAUUGGCUGAGCUACUUGGAUCAAUCAACACACGUUUAACUCGAGAUUUAUUGAUAAGUACAGAUAUUACCAGUGCAUUAUUAUGAGGUUGUACGAUUCCCUUGGCAUCCUCGUCGUAGAACGAAAUGGUUCCCUCCGGGACGUAAUCUCAGGUGUGCUUUUCCUAUCGUUUUGGCAAACCUACUCUCUGAGAAACAAGGGAACUAUCUCUGUACGGGUGAAAUCGGGAUUAGCGCAUACCCCGAUUUCCCGGUGAAUCAAACGAAGUAAGAUUCUGAAUAUAUGAGAUCGAAAUUGAAGCUGGGAACACUUUGUAUCAAGGCCCGAACGGGGUACUCACCGUCGGGCCUUGAUCACUCAGAAAUUCUCGGAGGUGCCCGUUAUUAACCAACCGGGAAACUUCUUCUCUCAAUUGCCAGCAGUCCUCGGUCGUGUGGCCAUGAGUGCUAUGAUACUUACACAUCAGGUUACAAUCUCUCUAGGUAGGGUCGGACUGCAAUGGUCGAGGCCACUUGGUUACCUGGAUGCGCCCAAUGGCUGAUACGAUGCUGGCAGCAUCAAUGUUGAAGUUAUACUCUAAUAAUCUUGGCGCUUCCCUUCCCCCGAGUGGUCUGUCGAAACCAUUUUUGCUCAUCAGACCUCGGCUAUUGGGCCCUCGAUCGCUUCUCUUUUCGUUCCUUGUGGGGUUAUGCCCGGACCCAUUUCCCCUUCGAUCUGCGUUGUAUGGUUGAUACCUAUCGUGGACCGGCCUUAGAUUCAUGGUCGACGACUCUUUUAGAUGUGUCGUUGGCUCUGAUGGAUAAACGAACCCAGAAAUGGCUUCGAGUUUGUCGUCCUCGACUCUGAUUUUUGACUGGUACCUGUUGUGGACGUCGACCCAAGUUACCGCUGGGUACUCUACCAAAUUAUGUUUUAGCUGUUGCGAAGCCAAGGAGCUUCGAGGGUUAAGUCCUUGAGUGAAUGCAUGAACGGUCCAAUCAUCCGCAACUGGAGGCGGGUCCAUCCGUUCCAUCUAAAACCUUGACACGAACUCCCUAAGCAUCUAGUUGACUUUUUGCUAAACCUUGAAAAGGACUGAUUUUCUGGUCUCGACCUUGAUGGCCCCGACAUGAGCCUUCACAAAAGCAUCUGCAAGCAUAAAGAAUGAGUCAAGGGAAUUAGGGGGUAAGUCAUCGUCUUCCAAGUCGUUGCCUUUGAUGGCGCAUGUGUAGGAAGUCACAUGCUCAUCCGGAUCCGUGAUUCCGUUAUAUUUUGGAAUAUCGGGCAUACGAAACCUCUUCGGGAUUGACUUUGGUGCCACACUCGGAGAGAAAGGCUUUUGGACAAAUUUCUUGGAAUCCGAGGGUGCUCCCGGGAUUUUAUCGAGGAUGCUCCCGAGAUUUGAUAGACCCUAGAAUUAUAUGUCCCCACCUUCUUGUCGUUGGACUCAUUUUUCUUUUCACUUGAUUCCGCUCGCUUCAUUAAUGCUUCAAGCAUUUUCAUUACUUCAGGACUGACCCCGGACUCAGCUUCACCUGGUCUGUCGGUGAUAUGCUCAUUUCUUCAGGUGUUUUCCCGGGACGGUUCGUGCUCGACUCGACUGGGGGCACGACUUUGAUUUUGCAGCUUUGCUAUCGCCGCCUGUUGAGCCUGUAACAUUUCGAAGAUUAACCGUAGGCUAACCCCAUCACCAUCGCCUCCGGGCGCUUCUCGAGCCGUUGGUCGAGUUCCCCGUGACCGUUGUUCUCGGGAUCGGUUGGCAGGUUGACAUCGAUGGCUACCUGCGAGUUAGCAUCGACAGGGUCGGCAACUGGGACCCGUUGGGAUCAGUAGGAGGCACCUUGUUGCUAGGCACCAGAUUGUUGUUUUCGCCUUGAUGGACAAAUUCAGCCUCAAUGUUCAAGAGAGCAGACUGAGAAUUUGACAUUUUUAAGCUGACUUGAAAUUGAGACCUUAAACAACAAGCGUAAAAUAGAGUGUGUUAUGGAGAUUUGUAUCAAACCAUCAUUAUUAUCCUCAACCCCACGGUGGGCGCCAAACUGUUUACCCUUAAACGGAUAAUAAUUCAAUUUAUACGCAAUUUUAAGGAUAUGUGGAUUGAUUCAACACAAAUAAUCAAGAAUGUUAGAUAAAUGAGUUAAAUAUAGAAUGAAUAAUCAAACCAAUUGUGAUGUUACGUCCGGGUUCAGAUUUAAGCUGAACAAAAGCCUUACCCUCUAUCGGACCCUUAACUUGAUGCCAAUUGUGUAUGAAGAACAACAAUAAAAUAUGAACUUUGCAAUGGCUAGAAAGCAGAAAAAUGAACUUGUAUUUCUUGGUCUGCGUCUUACAAUGUGUCCUAUUGAAUAAAAAGCUUCCACUUUAUAUAGUAGGAAAGUUUCACCCCUAAUACAAUUCUAAAAAAUGUAAAAAAAUCCUUCUUUCUCAUCAAUUACUUAUCCGCUACCGACAUCGGGCGAGAUCUGCGCCGUGAUAUCCGGUUGGGUGCGGAUUUCACGGUCCUCUGUUAGUCGUGUGCAACUGUUUGUCAAGCUUUCCGAGGUCUUGGAGCUCGUUCUGGAUUCGAGGAGUGUUGUCUUAUCAGGCCCGGUGGCGAGUACCCCGUUCGGGCCUUGAUACAAGAGCUCCUAGCUUCGAUUUCGAUCUCAUAUAUUCGUACUCUUACUUCAUUUGAUUCACCGGGAAAUCGGGAUGUCCGCUAACCCCUAUUUUACCCAUACACAGAGAUAUUAUAUAUUAUCGUGAAUAAAAAAAAAAGAUAUUAUGUAUAAUCGGAUGGACGGUCACGAAUAUCCAAAUUUUCAGACAUUGAAUUUCAGAAGAAAGAUUGGAAUGUGAGAAAAGAGAACAACUACACCUAUGUUAUUCUUAUUGUUAAGAUUAAGUUAAAGCCUUCAGAUUUUAUCUCGACGAGUAUGCAUGCUCUACAGAAAGUACGGGCGAUAACUUGGAGGAAAAAUCACUAGAAAUGGUCACGUCUUGGAUCACCCCAAGUAGUUUAGGUUUCAAACAAGAUAGGCUUUUGAUUCACCAAUUCGCUCAAUAUUUCAGGACGAUCAUCAACGAAAAAAUAAGGAGUUCAGUGUACUUUUUUGGACAAGUUUAUGGUGCAAUUUAAGCAUUUUUAAAGAAAAUAUUUAUAGUUUCUUAACUAUUCUUUUAAUUGUUUCUGUUCUGUGAUCUGAAAGAGAGUCCGUAUAUGGAUAAUUUAAAAUUAUCCUCAUCCAAUAUGAAUUACAAUCACUUUACUCCUUAUUAGAGAAGAUAAAUAGGCAGAGAGAGUUAAACUUGAAGGUAAAAAUAGGUUAAUGCAAAACGGAGCAUUACCCAAUCCGUUCAAAGUUUAUUGAGGUCAAAAUAAUUUAGUUUAAGACUACUUAAAUGACAGGUCAUAAUCUAAUAACCCACUUACGAUAAAUGUACCUCUUGAAAAGCUUACCUUAUUAUUAGAAAAAGAUUUGGAAAAAAAUGUCAAAACUUACGCAUUUUCCUUAAAUUAUUAGCUUGAAUUUUAUUUGCAUUAUUUCCAAUCGCGAUAUUUAUUUUGUUGAAAUGGAGUUGCAUUUUAACUCGUUGAAUUAUACAAUUUGAGACAAUUGGGAUUAUUUUAUUUGACCAAUAAUUUGAUGAGUUACUUUUGGAUCAAAUGAAUGAACAAGAUUAAAAGCACAAUUAAAUUUGGCCGAGUUAGACAUGUUGCUAAUUUAAAAAUGGGUGCUCCAUCCUAUGGGUGUCAAUGGAUAUUCGAAAACCGAAUAAAUCGAUCAAACCGUACCGCAUCGAUUUAUGUUUCUUUUUAAGAAACCAUAAGUUUUUUUAUAUAAAUUUAUAACCACACCGAUAAUUAGGGUAGGUUUUUUAUUUUAUAAAAAUAAACCGAAAAAAUUCCGAAACGUACCGAAUAAAUUUUACAUGUGAAAAAUAUAUUUAUCUAGUAAGUUUAAAAAUAAUAAUGCAUUAAAAUUUUCUUUGGGCCUUGGAAUUAUGCAAACUAUUACAAAACCAACAAGUAAUUAAACUCAAAAUACUAAUUCCUAAAACCUAUUAUUCUACAUUACUUAAACUAAGUUAUUUCAAGUAUCUUUAUUAGCAAGACACAAAGUAUUCUAGCGAUAAUGAGUAGCAAACUACAAUGCAUUGAAUAUGUUUCCUUUCAUAUAAUUUAGAUUUAUCUUUUUGAAUAUUUAAUCUUGUAUAUACUUUAUUCUUGAGUCACGUCUUGGUUAAUAUCUUUCUACUCGUGUGAUUUAUAUUUUCUUUGCCUUUGUUUGAUUUUUUUUACGUUGUUGUAGAAUAGUUGAUGGAUCUAUACCCUUGCCAUCUUUCAUUUUUUUUUUAAUUUAUCACCAUUUAAACAGUAAAAAUGUAUAGAGGUUUUGCUAAGUCCUAUAAAAGAACGUAUGUUAUUGCAUUUUACUUCUAAUGGUGAAUUUUACAUGAUAUUUAAAGAAAAUAUUAAAAAUUAACCGAACCGUACCGAUACCAAUUAGAAACCGACAUGAUUGAGACGGUUUCGAAAAAUUUAAUUUUGGUUAUACAUAAUAAAAUAACCGAAAAAUUGAUAUGGUACCAAUUUUAUAAAAUAACCGGCCGAACCGAACCAUUGUCACCCCUACUUCAUCCCUUAGGGAGUAGGGACUAGCGGUGUACAAACCGAACCAGAAAAUCGCACCAAACCGAAAAGUCAGACCAAACUGAUUAAAAAAUCCGAUUAGGUUUGAUUUGACUUGGUUUGGUAUUGAGUAAAAAAAACUGAACAAAAUCGACAUAUAAAUAUAUAAUUUUUAUAUAUAAUUUUAAGACUUCGUAUAGAAUUUUAUUUAAAAUAUGUGUAGAAAUAUUUGAGAUCCUCUCAUGAGAUAUAAUAUUUAUUAGAACUAUAAAGUGCAUUCAUUUGUAUUUACUUUAAAUAAUAGAUUGUAUCACUUUCUUAUUAUGUGUUAUUGAAAUGCUUCAAUCAUCUCUUUGUUCUUUCAUAUUCAUAUGUCAAGAUUUAUUAUACUGUAUGUUUUUUGAAUUUGAAGUGGUAUUUCGAUAAUCUAAAAUCACAUAGAACAUAUCAUUAUUUAGGUAUCAUAUUGAUUUUUAUGUCUAAUUAUUAAAUUUGGUUAACCCUAAAAGCGUACAUCAAUCAAAAAUUAUUAGUAGACAAUUAAGAAAAUAAACUAUUAUGUGUUACUAAAAAUAAUUCUUCCGUAAGAUCACUUUAAUAGAUCAUAUGUUUGUUAUUUUUUUUUAAUUUUUAGUAAACAUAUUCACUUAUCAAAAUUUAAUCUAUAAUUUUAAUAAUACAAAAUUAAAAUAAUAUUCAUGUAACAAAAAAAUCCGAAAAACUCGAAAAAUCCGACAAAAUUGAAUCAAUCCAAAUCGAUAUAAUUGGUUAGAUUUGAUUUUUAAAAAAUCCAAACAAACCCGAUCUAUAUAUACCCCAGUACAGAUCAUAUGUUUAAAAGGCCAUAUUGUUUAUCCAUCGCACAUGGAACUUCGUCUAUGCGUGCGUCGGAUAUAGAGUAUAUUGUGUAACCUCUCAUCCGGUGCCACGUAUAAGAAGCCAACUGAAGCUUCUCGAAAGGCAGUAAGUAUUGCUCCGACUUUAUUUCUAUUUUUUAAUUCAACUUUUUCGGAAGCUGUCCGUAUAACGUAGCUUCUGGUUGUUUCUUUUUCUGUCGCUUUUUUCUUUUUAUAUUUUCCCCUUACCACCAUUUCCUCCUUUCCUGAACUUUCCAACUCUUUCCAUCUCUUAUCUGUAACAAACAUAGUUCCUACCCCCCCCCCCCAACACACACAAAACACCUCUAUGUGUCGUCGGAACCUUCUAGAAUAACCAAAAAUCCCAACGGACGUCUUUCCUGCAACUCUCCUGCCUCCCUGCAAUUUUGGCUCCAGAUCUGCUGCGAGUAGCAUCUUCAGUCAAGUAUGUAAUUUUGGAAUAUAAUUUACCUUUUAUUUGAUAUCUUUGCUCGUAAAUGGUUUUGUAUAGAAUUUAACGAUCUUUAGUUAAGGUGAGAAGCGAUGACUCCACCGCCGAUAGAGCGGAACGGUGGAGAAUCAACGGCCGGUGAAACGGCGAGGUCUGUCCCGACGCCGUUUUUAACAAAGACGUAUCAGCUCGUCGAGGAUCCUUCCAUCGACGACGUUGUCUCUUGGAACGAAGACGGAUCUAGCUUUAUCGUAUGGAAUCCGACGGAGUUUGCUAGAGAUUUGCUUCCUAAAUAUUUUAAGCAUAACAAUUUCUCUAGCUUCGUUCGGCAGCUCAACACCUAUGUAAGUUCCUAUAUCUGAAUUCAUUAAUUAGAUUUGCCAUGAAAUAUAGAAAGUCAUUGCUUUUUCGUCGAUGAUAAAUGUUUUGAUUCUGUUUUAUAGGGAUUUCGGAAAGUCGUACCUGAUCGAUGGGAAUUCUCAAACGACUGCUUUCGGAGAGGUGACAAAAGUCUGUUACGCGAUAUCCAACGUCGGAAAGUAGUCACGCCGAUUGCUACUC
Molecule: long non-coding RNA, 15520 nt
Filed under: Nicotiana tabacum (common tobacco)
Lineage: Eukaryota; Viridiplantae; Streptophyta; Magnoliopsida; Solanales; Solanaceae
Description: long non-coding RNA (NTAB_LNC015907)
Source: RNAcentral